UUCCUCUGGCCUGCAUCAGGCCUGCAGCCUCCCGGCUCUAAGCUGGAGUCCCAGACUGGUGCUGGGGUGGGAAAGGCGCCUUUCCCAGGGCAUCCUCUGAGAUUCAAGUCUGAUCAUGUGGUAGGAGCUGGGUACCCUGAGAGAGAGCCGUUCAAGCAGUGCCCUGCCUGCAUCCCUGUGCCACCCUACCAGCCCUUCCCACUUUCGGAAGGCCAGGAUUCAUCCUCUGCUCUGGGGGUCCCUCAACAAAGAGGCUUUCGGCACGUCUCCUGCGGCCCCUAUCAUGGAAAUAGCUUGGUGUCAGAACCAGCCAGAGACCUGCAGCCAACCUACUGCUCACCCCCUCCCCCUCCACUACCACCUCCCCCACCCCAGCCACAGCAGCCCCACUUCCUCCCACCAGGCUACCUCUCUGCUCUCCACUUCCUGCCACCGCCACCACCGCCACCAUCUCCACCGUCUUUCUCGCUGACCAUCCUGUAUGAUACAGACAAGGAGAAAACCAAUGAGCAGGGCGCAGACGCCCCCAGUGAGCCCAGCCAGCAGUCUACCCAGGAGGAGUCCAACUAAGCUGACGGCCACCUUGAAGGCCACUGGGUGGGGAUGGGUGGGUUUUUUUUCCCACCAUGUUCGUGUUAUAUAGGGAGGAAGGAUACUGACAGAUUUAAGAAGGCAGCUAAUUCCGACUUCAAGUUAUAAGGGGAGAGGUGGUUUCCAAGGUUCUCUGGAUCCUGUGUGGGUGUUGAAGUGGUGUACGAAGGGGGAGAGUCUCUGGGAUGGGCAGGGCCUUUGAAGAGUGGGGGCUGGUGAAACACAAGUUUAGGAAUGAAUUUAACCAUCCUGAGUCAUGUAUGAAAUUCACUUCUAGAGGUGAACCCCUGAUUUCCUCAAGCCUCACUCGGGACAGAAGGCACCAUCCAGUUCAGCCUUCUGCCCACUUUGCCUGAUCCCCAGGCUUGGGUACCAGGCUUGAUGUUUGAUCAAGGCUUCCAGACUAUGCAGGGCGGGUGCCAGGGACUGGGAUGUUGACAGCAGGCUCUGCAGCAUCCACUUUGCUCAGCCACCACCCCUCGCUCGACCUCUUCCAGCAAGUGAGCAUCCUGAUGGCUUCACCUCCCCGUGAAGCUCCAGCAAUGAUGGGCGUCCUUUCUCAUUUAAAAAUGUAGAUUUUAGUAUUCAAUGUUUUUAUGGUGGGCACUGAAGCAGUUCUUAGAGCAUAACAUGGCAGUUUGUUCUCCGAGGACAGCCGAGUAUUAAAUAAAGUGAGCAUUGGAAAUCCU
This 1280-nucleotide long non-coding RNA is filed under the name Rattus norvegicus (Norway rat). RNAcentral describes it as "long non-coding RNA NONRATT023451". Lineage: Eukaryota; Metazoa; Chordata; Mammalia; Rodentia; Muridae. The record is from RNAcentral.